Molecule: long non-coding RNA, 7137 nt
Organism: Aphidius gifuensis
Lineage: Eukaryota; Metazoa; Arthropoda; Insecta; Hymenoptera; Braconidae
Exons: 16
Source: RefSeq, a predicted model, not a curated record
UAUUUAUUAAUAACCAACACAUAUAAAUUUAAUUUAAUGGAGAAAAAUGAUUAUAAAAACACCACUAUAUUAUUUGAAGCUAUACAAUUUUCCAUUGUAUUCAAGGUUUUAUAUAGGGCGCAUCAAAAAGAGUCAUCAAAACUAAGCAAAAAGACAGUAUUUGAAAGAGUAAAGUCUUCUCAUGUAUGAACGCAACAAGUACGAUAAUUUUUUAUUAUUUAUUAACGUCAAUUCGCGUCUGUAUAAUUUGCUCACGCAAGACGUUUUUGUGCAUUGGGUAAGCGUGCAAAAAAGAAAAAGAAAAAGUCACGUGCCCCUGAACGGGUUCGUGUGCUGGUCAUUUUUUCUUUUUCACUGUUUAUAUGAUGAUGAAUAAAAGAAGUAUAAAGUAAAAACAUUGUAAUCUUAUGCACACGCUUCAGGUACAUACUGCAUACUAUAUGUAUACACCAUAUAAAAAAAAAUAUAUAUAUUUUCAAUACCGUUAGACGAAAAGAAGGCGUAUAUUCUCGUCAUCAUUUUAGCAUCACAACAAAAGCUUGACUUGUGAUGUAUCCUUGGUAUCCUUGACGUUAUACCGAUUGGUAAGAAUAUGUAUAUGCAAUACUUGAAGACAUAUAGAAAUAAUAUAACACAAACAAGAUAAGUUAAAAGUGAAGAUGGCGGUAAGUUUGGUACAGUGGGGGAUUUAAGCCAGGAUUGGCGUCACGCUGUCGGGUACACCGGUUUCGAGUUGCUCCUUCUUUUUUUUAUUUAUUUUUUUUUUUUUAUAAUUCUUGUUUUUCCUUUCUUUUUUCUCUAUAUACUUUUUCGUUUUUUUUUUAUUAUUCUUCUCCGUCUUUUUCUUUUUAUUUUUCUUCUUAUUCUUGAGGUAGUUUUGCAUCAGCUUCAUGCAAGUCAACUGUUAACAAAUACGACCCAUACGACGACUACAACAACGACGAAGAAAACAAACUGGGUGUACGUAGUUUUACUGUCGUAUCAACGGGAUACAUCGGCAGUCUAGGCACAUGUGCCUGUAGUUCCUCUUUCAAAGUAAAAAAUCUAAAAUAAAAAAUAAAUAAAUAAUAGUAAACUAAAAAAAAAAAAACAAUUUAUAUAAAAAGAUAUAUUAGCUUUCAAAUAAGGAAGAGAAAAGAAUUGAGAAUUGAUGACAAGCCAAUUGAAUUAUGAUGAAAUUGAGACUUUUAAAAAAUAUAAAAUAAAAAAAAAAAAAUUUAUAUUGCAGAAGGACAUGAACAAGCAUGAGGGUUUGUGCAGUGGUUUUAUCUUGGCUUCUGAAUAUAUUGAAAAAUUAUAUAUAUUUGUUACAGAGGUUGCCAAAUGUAUUGAAAAUUUUGACCAGAAUUUAAUAUGGUGUUGGUAAAAGUUUUUGAAUAUAUAAUAUAUAAAGUACGAUAGGCUGUUUAUAAUAUGCCUCAAGAGUAAAACUUGUAUAUUGCAUGUGAAUGAGGAUGAAAAUAGAGGAUGUUCGCUUCAGCAUUACCCUCAUUUCUGGACUCUGCAGUAUCAGAAGAUGGAGAGAGUUGCAAGACCACGUUUUGUACACGGUAGCCCACGGGCAACACGCCCUGAUGUACGUGGGGAUGCUGUUAAUAACAUGCUAUGCAAUUUCGUAGUGGUUGUUUUGUGUGCUACCGGCCCUUUGGACAACGGCCUAUAUAUACCCAUAGCCUUUAUUUUUACUUGAGUGCUGACGCAAUAUGUCAGCUGAUUGACGAAUGAAGUGUGCUUGUUAUUCCAUUAACGGACAAUCAGCAAAGUUUAUAUCGUGAUUGAGUGUCCCAAUGAUCCAUCAUACGCAGAUUGACUUGUUACAACGGAAUUUCAUAAAAGUAAAAAAUUAAAAAAUGAAUAUUCUUCAGACAAAAAAAGACACUGGUGAUAUGUGUCCGUGUGGUUUAUCAGUCUUAUCUUGGGUCCAAAGAACCAGGCGAACGCGAGUAAAUCGAAAAAAAAACAAGGCAAACUUUAUACGUCGAAACGCAAGCAACACAAAACGAGGGUCAAAAUCCUUGCGCUUGGAAAGGAUGGGAUGCGCAGUGGAUAUUGUGAGAGGUAGGGAUUGUGUUGGUAAACCAAGAGAAUGAAGAGAGUGUGAGGUAAAAUGAGUUGAUGAUAAAGUGAGACGAAAAAUUGGAACCAAGACUACUGCGCGUUUAGCUGUGCCUGUAGUACUCCAACUUCAAGUUUGUCCAAUUUUAUUGCUGAAUAGAUGGAUAAUAUUAAAUGAAAUUGUUAGAUAUUAACAUUUAUAAUAGAAAUCAUUUUUAUGAUCUGUUAAAAUGUUUAACAAUUUUACCAGUUGUCUGUUCUUUAUCCAUAUACAUAUUACACUGAGAAAAUAUAAUGAGUUUACUUGUCUUCCAAAAUGGCGAGGCUAAUUAGACAUAGCAGUAUACCAGUGAAAUCCUAUGUGUAUCCUUCUCAAUGGGGAAUGACUGUAUAUCUAGAACACUGAAUGCAUUCAAAGUGUCAAUGCGGAAGGGAAGAAGAGUGUCUUUAUUAUUCUGCUGGAGAGUGAAGAGGUAGAAAAUAUUAUGCAAAGUCGAUUCUCGGACAAGAAGGACUCAAUAAUACGUCUCUUCUAUUUACCCGCUCAUCAGACUCAUGCUACUCGUCCCUACUAUGGGUUAUCUGCCACUCGAAGACAUCCAAUUCAACGUCGUUCAAAACCAUCCAAACAAAAAUCAGCAAAAUUAAAAACCCCACACUCCAAAAGACACACUGUUUCGUCUGUUUAAAAUUAUUUGAAUUUUCUUGUAUCACCAAUAUCAGAAAAUUAAAAAAAAUAAGUCAACAAAACAACAACAUACUGAUAGACAAAUAAAAAUAUAUUGAAAAUGUGAUUGUAUAUCGGACACAUGCAUAAACAAAAAAUAUGUUUCAAAACAAAACCUCGAAUCUUUCGUCAAGUCACGUUUUCAGGACAAACAAAGUUGAUAUGUGCUUGGGGCGAAUAUUUUGAUACUUCUUGAAAACAAAAAAUCUCGAUGAGUAAAACGUGGAUAAGUAGAAAAAAAUAAAAUACAAAGAAGGGGAAAAGAAAUCGAGAUUUUUCCACGGAAUAAUUCAGGGAAAAAAAAUAAAUAAGCAAAGGGGAGUAUUCUUUUGGAUCAAAACACAAAGUAAUUAUAGGGCCCUGCUCUCAAUCGCCUCAUAUCCUCCCCUCUUUAUAUUGUAUCUUUAUAUACUCCUUUUAUUUAUUAUUUUUUUUCAUGGCCUCUUGUGGACGACUAUACAACAUCCCACUAUAUUCUGGAUUUACCAGCCGACCUUGGACACCAUCAACAAAAUGAAGCUUUUUGGAGCUCUUUGAAAAAUGAAAAGACAGUCAAAAGUACAUGAACGAUUCAUUUGAUUUUAAUUAUUUUAAAUCAUCUAGAGGACUUGUAGUCAAUAUAAAAAAAAAGACGAUUGUAAACUUAUAUUUUCCCAGGAUUAUAUCAGAAGUUGUUAAUCGACGCAGCUACCGUUGAGAUGAACAGAAAAAAAUAUAACAAAUGUACAGACUAAACCGCAAUGAAGCCUUCAGAUAAUCAUCGUUGAACGAAAAAAUAAGGUUUCAGAUUUGCUCAGUGUAGAUGGCUACCGUUCAUCCAUAACCAUUUGGAAGUAUCGCUGAGGGGCCCAUUAAUGUUGUGAGACCGGUUACCACCAGCUCUUGAGUCUUCAGCUAAACUUGAUGACUGAUGAGGAAGCAACUGAAAUGAAAAAAAUAAAAAUACACAUGAAGAAGCAAAAAAUAAUCAGUUGCAGUGCCCCCCUUUCUUGAGGGCGGGUUCGUUCUCUUCUGGAUACACUAAAUGCGCAGAAAAAGAGAUUCAGGUCGUGGUACGCAUGAGUGCACACACUAGCUGUAGAAUUAUUUCGAAAUUUUUUCAAGGGGGCGACAGAGGAAGGGAAGUACACUGAUCACCCGACAUAACAUAUAUAAUAUAUUUAUAAAACAUUUAUUAUUUUUGCAGAAUUAUCUAUUAGACCGUCAUGAAUAUCUACGCACAUAUAUGAGAUCGUCGUUGUCCUACAAUGUCUCUAUACAACGAUGCGAUCAGAGAAUUAUUAAUGGCAAAGACACUUGUGAUAAUGAUCACUGUCCUCAGGCAAUACGCAUUAUAAACUUAUAUAUAUUUAUAUUUUUUUUUUUUUCAAAACUCGCAUGGAGUUAAAAUGAAAAAAAAAAUAUAUAUAUUUUCUCAAGAUCAAUGUAUAAAUAAUUAUACCUACUUUGAUUUUUAAUUCAAUACAAAAAAAGAAAAUUAAAAUAAUCGAUAUAGUUUGAGAAUAUUAUUUGUACAUUUAAAUUUGAAAUAAAAAAAAAUUAAUUAUAUUAGGUCAUAUAUUAAGUGAGUAAAAAUUGAAAAAAAAAAAUAUAUACCUGUAUAAUAAAUUAAUAAAUUUUAAUUAUAAAUUAAAAUACGUUUCAUUUAAAAAGGUUAAUUGAGCGGGUUUAAUUUUUCUUUUUUUUUUUAAUUCUACUAAUCAAAUGUGUGUAUAUGAAAAUUUAGUAAAAUGAUAAAUUAUUAGUAUCAGUAAGAUAAUUUUUCUUUCUCAAACAACCGAGGUCGUUUUGGACAAGUUUUAACCGGUCUGACAUAGUGUCAAGGAUUCGUGUGGGAUAUAUAUAUAUGAAUACAUAUGUAUACUAUAUAUUAUCAUGAUAUUUAAUAUUUAUGUUGUGUUUAUAGAUAAAUAGCCACUGGGUUUACGCGGGUCUCCAUGGUAACCUCAAGAAACUAGCCACGAGAGACGCGUGUCAAAGCUAAAUAAUGUAUAAUACAUGUAUAUAUAUAUUGUUGGCUUUGUGAGCAAAACCAAGUAGUGGCACUGUGGCAGAUCAGCGCAGAAUUAAACUUUUAAAUAUAUUAUAUGAAGAAUAUCAACUUUCGCUGUCGGAGCGUCAAUGCCAUUGGUUUCUUCGUUCAACGAAUCAUUGUAUAUUCAUCAUUAAGAUUUCUCGAUUGAAGAUGGAAAAAGAUGGGGUAAAUAAAUGAAAUUUAAAAAAAUAUUUAAAAAGAUUAUAGCAGUGGAUGUGUAUUAAAACGAUUAUGUCCACUUCAGCAUUGAUAAGUUGGUGGGGAAAUUACGAUGCAGGUGUUGGCCUUGAUAGUUUACACAUGCAAUAAAAAAAUAAAAUGAAAAAGAAAUAUAUAUUUUCAUGUAUGUACAUUGACACAAUCAACAUUAUGUCUAAAUAAAAAAUGGCAAACAAUUUUUUGAAAAGAAGAAUCUUAUAUUACAUCUGAAAAUUAUCUAAACAAAAUUGAAUAUAAAAAAUUCGAUAAACAGAAAUCAUUGUGGCUGCUGGUGUUUUGCCUGUAUGAGGUCAAGAUGGUAAUAAAAAUAAACGAGCCACUCCUGUGACGAUUACCACAUCUGAUUUUAGAUUCUAUCUGCAGAGACACUAUCUGAUCUUAGUGAUAAUUUGCAAUACUCAAUAGAUGCAUAAGCUUUCGUGUCUCAUAUAUAGAAAUUGAUAUCUCAUACAAAAUUAAUGAAUAGGAAAAAAAAAACACCAAGAAAUUAAUUAAUAAUCAUAAAAAUUAAAAUGAAAAAAAAAAAAAUUAAAGCUUAUGGUUCAGUUGUCACUUAAGCAUAAUUAUACAUACAUUAGAUACACUUUAGAACCAGUGUUAUUGCGCACAAUUGUAUGACAAAAAUAUAUAUUUAUAUAUAUCAAAUACAUACAUGACAAGUACAUAUAUUUGAUAUAUAUAUGUAGCAAUAUAUCAAAUCUUACAGAACACAUAAAACUAUAGCACGAGCUCUGUACUUUCUCUGUUAUUAUAAGCUUAUUGUAAUUUAAUAACAAUGUUGCUACCUUUUUAUUCGUUGUUAUUUAAACGGAUAUAUAUACGCAACACUUGAAAUAUUAAAACACAUACAGCAUAAAAAUUUAAUUUACAAUUGCCAUGAAAUUGCAGUGUUUUUUUUUUUUUUUUUAUUUUCAAAUAUUUAAAAUAAUUAAAUUCAAUUUAAUUUUCUCAAUAAAAGCCAAUGAACUUUUUUUUUCUACGUAAUACAAAAUUAUUAAUUUAUUUUUUUUCACAUUAGUAUCUACUUUAAUGGCAACACAAAAAACAAUCUAUAUAUAUAUAUAUCAAUUGAAAAUAUAAAAAAAUAAAUUAAUCAUCUCAAUAAAAAUCAAAUAUUAUUUAUUAUAUUAUGAAAUUUAUUAAGAAUAUCACUUGGGUAAAAAUUGUAUAUUAAUAAUUGUCUCAUAAAUUAUAAAUUGAAAGUUUUCAAUGAGAACAAGAUCAUGUAUAGUUUUUUGUGACGUCAUAUACAGUGUGACCACGUGCUGAAGACGAUAACAAGUUAACGUGAGUAGUAUAGUAGCUUUCAAUACGAUACGCGAGAAUCAAGUUUUAUUUUUUAUAUUUGUUUAUUUAUUUUUUUUUAUUUACUAACUCUUCGACCACUGCACUUUUGUAUCGUAUGUUUGUAUCAUAUACAUAUAUUGCUUACUAAAUAAAUGUAUACAUGAAGCGUGACCCACGGAUCAAGGACGAUUUUACUCGCAGGGUGAUAGAGAUGGUGGUGGUGGAGAAGGAGGUUGUUGUGUAGCCACGACGACAACGACAAGACACGACGAUAGUCAAACAAAUAAAAAAGACACCAAUAACAACCAUACUACAAUAAUCAACAAGUGGUGCUGGUUUCUAUUCAUCUGGUAAAUUGCAAUAAAAAGCAUCAAUAAUGGUAGACCAAAAGCUCGAUGAAAACAAAUAAUAAUGAAAAAAAAAAAAAAGAAGAAAUUUGCAAGGAGAAAAUAAAUUUAAAAAACACACACACAAGUGUAUAUGAAGUUUAUAAUACAUUGCGUGUCUAUUGCACUGGAAAAAAAUAUGAGAAAAAAAAAAUAUACACUUGAUUUUUAUUGGCAUCUUGCUCAGACUGAUGCUUGAUAUGUAUGAUAUGAUCUUGCUCAUAUAUAUACGCGUCAGAUGAUAGAGGAGGAAGAAAAAAAAUAAAAUAAAAUAAUAAAUAAAUAAAUUAAAAAAACUGGCGAAUGACCGGGACUCACUUGCAUAUGUAUGUAAUCACAUACACACACAAAUAAACUUAAUCAACCGCAAAAGCAAGACGACGAGAAUUGCGAGAGUAUAUUAAAGAGUAAGAGAGUUGAAUUUAUAU